Molecule: ribosomal RNA, 815 nt
Filed under: Aspergillus candidus
Lineage: Eukaryota; Fungi; Ascomycota; Eurotiomycetes; Eurotiales; Aspergillaceae
Description: LSU rRNA
Rfam family: Eukaryotic large subunit ribosomal RNA
Source: RNAcentral
GCGGAGGAAAAGAAACCAACCGGGAUUGCCUCAGUAACGGCGAGUGAAGCGGCAAGAGCUCAAAUUUGAAAGCUGGCUCCUUCGGGGUCCGCAUUGUAAUUUGCAGAGGAUGCUUCGGGUGCGGCCCCUGUCUAAGUGCCCUGGAACGGGCUGUCAGAGAGGGUGAGAAUCCCGUCUGGGAUGGGGUGUCCGCGCCCGUGUGAAGCUCCUUCGACGAGUCGAGUUGUUUGGGAAUGCAGCUCUAAAUGGGUGGUAAAUUUCAUCUAAAGCUAAAUAUUGGCCGGAGACCGAUAGCGCACAAGUAGAGUGAUCGAAAGAUGAAAAGCACUUUGAAAAGAGAGUUAAACAGCACGUGAAAUUGUUGAAAGGGAAGCGCUUGCGACCAGACUCGCCCGCGGGGUUCAGCCGGCAUUCGUGCCGGUGUACUUCCCCGUGGGCGGGCCAGCGUCGGUUUGGGCGGCCGGUCAGCGGCUCCCGGAAUGUAGCGCCUCUCGGGGCGCCUUAUAGCCGGGGGUGCAGUGCGGCCAGCCUGGACCGAGGAACGCGCUUCGGCACGGACGCUGGCAUAAUGGUCGUAAACGACCCGUCUUGAAACACGGACCAAGGAGUCUAACAUCUACGCGAGUGUUCGGGUGUCAAACCCGUGCGCGCAGUGAAAGCGAACGGAGGUGGGAGCCCCCUGAGGGGCGCACCAUCGACCGAUCCUGAUGUCUUCGGAUGGAUUUGAGUAUGAGCGUAGCUGUGGGGACCCGAAAGAUGGUGAACUAUGCCUGAAUAGGGCGAAGCCAGAGGAAACUCUGGUGGAGGCUCGCAGC